CUUUUUUCCUCCUUUCUCUGUGUAUGGGGCUCAGAGAUCACACUGUGUCUCUAUGUGAAUAUGGACAGGUCCAUGGUGGUAAAUGCUCAC
Molecule: long non-coding RNA, 90 nt
Organism: Mustela erminea (ermine)
Lineage: Eukaryota; Metazoa; Chordata; Mammalia; Carnivora; Mustelidae
Exons: 4
Source: RefSeq, a predicted model, not a curated record